RNAcentral lists this ribosomal RNA (638 nucleotides) under Cortinarius pholideus. RNAcentral's name for it is "eukaryotic LSU rRNA". It matches the Rfam family "Eukaryotic large subunit ribosomal RNA", at positions 1 to 627 of the family's 3401-position model. The record is from RNAcentral. Lineage: Eukaryota; Fungi; Basidiomycota; Agaricomycetes; Agaricales; Cortinariaceae.
GUGACCUCAAAUCAGGUAGGACUACCCGCUGAACUUAAGCAUAUCAAUAAGCGGAGGAAAAGAAACUAACAAGGAUUCCCCUAGUAACUGCGAGUGAAGCGGGAAAAGCUCAAAUUUAAAAUCUGGCAGUUUUUGGCUGUCCGAGUUGUAAUCUAGAGAAGUGUUAUCCGCGCUGGACCGUGUACAAGUCUCCUGGAAUGGAGCAUCAUAGAGGGUGAGAAUCCCGUCUUUGACAUGGACUGCCAGGGCUUUUGUGAUGCGCUCUCAAAGAGUCGAGUUGUUUGGGAAUGCAGCUCAAAAUGGGUGGUAAAUUCCAUCUAAAGCUAAAUAUUGGCGAGAGACCGAUAGCGAACAAGUACCGUGAGGGAAAGAUGAAAAGAACUUUGGAAAGAGAGUUAAACAGUACGUGAAAUUGCUGAAAGGGAAACGCUUGAAGUCAGUCGCGUCGUCCAGGGAUCAACCUUGCUUUUGCUUGGUGCACUUCCUGGUUUGACGGGUCAGCAUCAAUUUUGACCAUUGGAAAAAGGUCGAGGGAAUGUGGCAUCUUUGGAUGUGUUUAUAGCCCUUGGUCGCAUACAAUGGUUUGGGAUUGAGGAACUCAGCACGCCGCAAGGCCGGGUUUAAACCACGUACGUGCU